AGGACGAACGCUGGCGGCGUGCUUAACACAUGCAAGUCGAGCGGAAAGGCCCUUCGGGGUACUCGAGCGGCGAACGGGUGAGUAACACGUGGGCAACCUGCCCUUAGCUCUGGGAUAGCUCCGGGAAACCGGAAUUAAAUACCGGAUAUGACCUAGGCCGACAUCGGCCGUGGUGGAAAGUUUUUCGGCUAGGGAUGGACUCGCGGCCUAUCAGCUAGUUGGUGGGUAAUGGCCUACCAAGGCGACGACGGGUAG
RNAcentral lists this ribosomal RNA (255 nucleotides) under uncultured bacterium. RNAcentral describes it as "partial small subunit ribosomal RNA". It matches the Rfam family "Bacterial small subunit ribosomal RNA", at positions 26 to 286 of the family's 1533-position model. The record is from RNAcentral.